CAGAACACCGCUGACACUGACAGUCCUUGGAUGAAGCCAUGAAGGAUUGGAGAAAAGGACGUGGUGGUGUUGUGCUGUUGGCCAAAAUGUCAUUACUAGCCCCACUGACGCAUCAACAAUUCUUAGGUUCCAAUACCAAAUGUCUGUGUUGUUUUCCAAUGACUUUGUUGGAGAUUCCAGGUGAUUAUUAAUCGAAUAAUCCAGGCACAUAACCUAAUUAAGAAACUGGACUGAGCUCUUCCUUCAUGAAGCUUGUGUCAUGGUACGACAACGAGUGGGCCUACAGCAACCGGAUUCUGGACCUGAUCGCCCACAUGGCUCUUGUCAGCACAGCACCAGGCACUGAUGCGUCCGAAUUCCUCGUUCCACCAACAGCCUAGUGAUGAAGGCUGCUGUUUCCAUGGCCGUUUACCCUUUUGUUUG
Long non-coding RNA from Panicum virgatum (switchgrass), 423 nucleotides. RefSeq lists it as uncharacterized. Lineage: Eukaryota; Viridiplantae; Streptophyta; Magnoliopsida; Poales; Poaceae. The record is from RefSeq and is a predicted model, not a curated record. The transcript has 4 exons.